GGUUGUGGCUCAAUGGUAGAACACUUGCCUAGCAUAUAUGAGGCACUGGGUUCGAUCCCCGGCAUCA
Molecule: transfer RNA, 67 nt
Filed under: Marmota monax (woodchuck)
Lineage: Eukaryota; Metazoa; Chordata; Mammalia; Rodentia; Sciuridae
Description: tRNA.Ala
Source: RNAcentral